Cherax quadricarinatus is the source of this 1260-nucleotide non-coding RNA. The record is from RefSeq and is a predicted model, not a curated record. NCBI's taxonomy places the organism in Eukaryota, Metazoa, Arthropoda, Malacostraca, Decapoda, Parastacidae.
UAGCCUGACUUAGCUCUUAACUCUGCUUGGAGACACACCUUGUUCUGUUGGUAUUUGUAAUUAUGUGAAUUAUUACAUCUCCAGCCUGGCACCAUGCCAGCUGCUACUUUCCUAAGAUCUGAUUGCCGAAAAAUCCGUGGUCACCUGGCCACGGUGGCCCGUGGCCUGGUGGCUAAAGCUCUCGCUUCACAUGGCGAGGGGUCUGGGUUCGAUUUCCGGCAAGGGUAGAAACAUUUGGUGUGUUUCUUUACACUGGUUGUCUAUGUUCCUUAUCAGUAAAAAAGGGUACCUAGGAGUUAGUCAACUGGUGUGGGUCGCAUCCUGGGUGUUAGUCGACUGGUGUGGGUCCCAUCCUGGGACAAAACUGACCUAAUUUGUCCGAAAUGCUCUGCAUAAUAAGGGGCUUUCUAUAUUUUAGUAUGUCAUUGAUGUCAGCUAUGGUCUGUAUACCUUGUACAUGUACUUGUAGUAAAUAAAGAUAUUAUUAUUAUUAUUAUUAUUAUUAUUAUUAUUAUUAUUAUUAUUAAUUAUAGAGUGACGUAGGACGGACAUGCCAGUGUAACAAUGACUGAUGAAAGGACACACCAGUAUAUGAUGGGUAUUGUGUUUACAAUACUGGGUAAUGAACUAUGCUGCUGCUGCUGCUGCUGCUGUGUUCUAUGACAAUUACGUAAUACGAAGAAGAGCUAUCAAUGUUUCCUCAUUAUUCUCCAUCACACAGGAUGGUGUUCCUACACCAGGUGAUAAAAUAGGUUGAUCCAGGAGACAUAAGUAGGGUGAUCAAGGACAUCAUUAAGUACAUUAUUAGACAUUUAGCAGUUAUGGAAGCUAGCAAGACUUCAUGUCAGAAGACCUGGAAUGAAGCCCUGGAAGACCUGAGGUUACUGUUGCUUAUCAAAUGUUAUCUCUUAGGAGAGUAUCAUCUCUCACUCUUUCUCAACCUCUUUCCAUCUCUAUUUUUCUUCCUCCCACUCUUCUUACCAGGACUCAGGUUGAAGCUCCUUACUUCCAGGACUCAGGAUGAGGCUCCUUCCUUGCAGGACUCAGAAUGAAGCUCCUCACUUCCAGGACUCAGGAUGAAGCUCCUUCCUUCCAGGACUCAGGAUGAAGCUCUUUCCUUCCAGGACUCAGGUUGAAGCUGCUUCCUUCCAGGACUCAGGUUGAAGCUGCUUACUUCCAGGACUCAGGUUGAAGCUCCAUACUUCCAGGACUCAGGUUGAAGCUCCAUACUUCCAGGACUCAGGUUGAAGCCUCAUACUU